Long non-coding RNA from Linepithema humile (Argentine ant), 3620 nucleotides. RefSeq lists it as uncharacterized. The record is from RefSeq and is a predicted model, not a curated record. Lineage: Eukaryota; Metazoa; Arthropoda; Insecta; Hymenoptera; Formicidae.
GAUGGGGACACUGAAGUAUAAGCAAAUAGCGAAAAAUAAUGUUUUUUGCCUUGAUGUAACUAUAACGUCUGCUGAAGCGUAUUAUGUAGUUGACAGUCACGCGCGCGCGUCUGUACUCUGCCACGAUACCAAAUUAUCAGUUAUAAAUAAAUGUGCGGCAAACAUUACGCGGUAAUGACAGUGGCGUGCGAUAAGAUAGUUUUCUAACAAUACUUGGUUUAACGCGUUGAAUGUCUCAGACAGCCACUAUAAACUUGACAAAUUAAUCCACAUUUUUCUCUGAUAACGAUACGACGUAAACAAAUAAUUAAAUUACUUUUUACAGUCGUGCUGACAAAAACCAGUUAGAAAUAAAAUAAAUAUCAUAAAUCGUACGUUAUAAAUUAUGCUCCGAAGAUGAAGCCUACGAUUUUUAUCAGAUUUAAUUUGUAGAAGCAAGUAGAAUAACCAGCUUCGGUUAUCUUCGCACUAACGGAUCUGCCUGUUCGCAAACUUGGUAUAUUCGCAGCGUGGAUAGCGCGUGACGCAUGCUGGCGACGUCGGAGCCUUCUGCUCCCCACCCUCGAAUUCGAUCUAUCUUUCCCCACCGCGUACGUUCGAUCCCCUACCGAUGAUAUUGCAACGUACCGGACGCGACAAAGAUGGAAAGAUUUGCGUGUACCCCGAGCACGAGCAAAACGGAACACGUGCCGUCACAGUGGGGGCGGAGGAGGAGCGAGGAUAACUGAAGGGUAGGGGAUAUCCGUGUGCAACGAGAGGGGCAGCCGACUGUUCUCACCCUCGCGCUCACCACACCCCUUCCACCAACCAGUGGUGCGCGUUUUCUCCCACGUAGCGGCGUUAACCGACAGGACCUUUGUUGCCCGCCACGCUCGAACGGUGUUUCAGUCGCCGAGUUUGGACGCUGGUGCCGUCCAGCGACGAUCACGCAAAGCUCCAAGGUCGUAGGGGUAGUGGAAGGAUUGGUGGUGGGACAGUGCGACGACGAGAGAGGAAACGGUGGCAAUGGAAGGGUGGACGAGAGAGAUCCUGGUGGGGCGAAUCCGGAGAACGUAGCCGAGGAGGACGGGGACAUGCUGCUCUCAGGACGCGCAGAACAUCAGAGUGGGUCGAAAAGGACGGGUGUCUCUGUCUCUCUUUAUCCCUCUCGCUCGCUCUCUCCUUCCCUCUUACUCCCGCCGCCUAUCGCUCCGUCCUUGUUCCUUUCGUUCAUUUUUCUCGCUUCCACGCGCCUCGUGGAGAGGCAGAGGAACAGAGCUUGAUGGCGGGGCGAGAGCCGGCUUACUACGCGGUGAAACGCUACCACGGCGCUCAGUCUUCAGCGAUCAAACCGCCAGGCAGUGUGGACCUUCCUGAGCAGUCUCUCUUCUUGUACUCUUCCUUCUCUCCUUUUUUUCUGACCAUGGUGGCUACAAUCGGCAGAUCAAACUGAAAACCCGCGACUAUUCUAGUGUUGAUUGAUUCAACGGUUUGGAGCAAUUUCGACUUUGAAAAUCUGCAAUUAAGCCUACGAGAAGAAUGAAAGAUAAGAGAUGGUCAACAAUUUGGUGCACAGUGUGAAGACAAAGUCCGAAUCAUUUUCUAGAACGGCUUGUAAAUUCUCCAGAAUUCGUGAAAAGUUAUUCACACACGUAGUGGAGCUGCAGUGAAGAAAAAGAAAUUCGGAAGCGCUGACGAUGAAUUAGAUCGAAGGAAUCCAAGUUAACAGAUGUUUGUAAAAAUCUGUCGGAACAUUAUUUCACAUCGCUUAAAACUUCAGAUGGGCCUCACGAAAAUAUUUACUACCAUGAAGAGAUCGGAAAAAGAUUGGGAAAAUUGUUCGACACUUGAAGAUGAUCAAGAUUUCGUUGGACGAAUAUAAUUUUCCGUCGUCGAAAAAGUAACUGUAUCCGCAAAGAUACACGCGUGCAAUGACGCCAAAGUGCAUAUGCGGUUUAAGCGAAUGAGGAAAGUUUGUGCUGCAUCGUGUUAAACCACGUGGUAUGCUAAAUCGCGUGAGUCAUCUUCCCCAUUUCCAUUCGCAAUCGUAAAUUCGCGAUCCGGAUAACAUACAUUGAGGUCAAGUAAUCUUCAAGCUACAAAUAUUCACACUGCCCAUGAAGAUCGUCAAAUGGUCAUUAGAGGUGUAACGUAACAGUGACCACACAGCGAGAUUCGUGGUAUCGUGAUAAUAUUGUCCAAUGACGAUAAUUCCGCAGAAAAAAAGGACCGCAAAAAAAUCACUGCGAGAGUGCGGGAAGUGUAAAAUGUAAAAAGUGGUAAAGUGGAGUAUAAAACUGCACCAUGUCGUUCGUAAGCGUAAUAUCCGCUGUCCGUAUAAUUGAUGAACUCGUUACUCGGAGGUGUAACCUGCCGACGGCACUUACGAUUCGAAACGUUCAAUGGUAGACAAGUGAGAUUCGAAGCCGCGAAAGAAGAUUGCAGCUGCUUCAGUGGCACCGAUUGGUAAGAUACUUGGAGGACCGUUAAGCCGUAAGCUAUAACGCAAUAACGUUUUAAUAAAAUACUAUAAAAAGUCUAUGGUGAAUGUGCCGUUUCGCACCGAACAACAGUUAAUACUUUUAUGAAAACGAAUGACGCGCGCGCGCGCUUGUGAAACAUUACUCGACUAUUCUCAGGAGCUUUAGUUUUUAGCAAAGAUUUCGGUAUUUGAUGUUUCUUUAUUUUAGCGCCUAUCUUUACGAAAUAUAAAGUUUAAAUUUUUUAUGACCCAUAAAUGUUAUUACGUCUUAUCAAAUAUAUAUACAUUGCAAAGUUGCAACACGUUGCCGGAGCUUAGAAAGAUACGUCGUGUCAUUGAAACUAGAUUGAAUCGAGACGAAUGAAGAAUCCGACAAGACGAUACGGCCCUGUCUCGGUGGGCAGAUAGGGUAUAAUCAUACCGAGUUUCGUAUCUCGAGGGGGCCACGGGAAGAUGGACCACAACAUCUGCCGGCUGCAGGGAAUCUCUGCCCACAUGCUGGCCGGCCCGCGCGCAUACGCACACAUACGUACAACGGCAAAAAGUGACGUAGGUACACGGUGGGACGUCAUGUAAAUUCAUUCGAAACACAUGGCAGGGCUCAGAGCGGCGUUUCUCUUGUGCGCGCAAAGGGUUUCAAGGAGAGAAAUCUCUGAAGAGAGUAGGGCCCGCGGAAAAACAAACGAUAACCUCGACUUCAGCUUCGCGUGCCCCCUCGGCAUCGAUGUACCGUAAUAACGUCGCUGCCUCGCAUCAAAUCGGUUUUCUUUCGUCUUCUCCGAGCUGUCGCGAUAAUAUGAAAUAUUCUAGUCGAUCUCAAACCAUCGUUCGCCGGUUUUAUUUUUUGUUAUAUGGAUGGAAUCCUUGAUUAUAAAUGGUGGAAAUUAAUUAUAGCGUUUUGUAAUUAAAAUUUUGAAAGAGUAAUACGUCAUAUAAUAUAUAUCUGAAUAUAUUUAUCAAUUAAUAUAAUUAACGAAGAAUUCUCGUAUCUCAUUAUAAAUUCAAUCCACAAAAACUAUCAUAAUUGGAACCUUUACUAAUUAUGCAUAAUAUUGUAUAAAAUAUCAGCUUUAUUAAAAGAUGAUUUAUGCUAGUAUACUUUAUCGCGUAUACGUUAAUUGGUUACAUCAUUAUUUUAAUAAAUAUGCUUGUUCCGUAA